CUAAUACAUGCAAGUCGAGCGGACAGAUGGGAGCUUGCUCCCUGAUGUUAGCGGCGGACGGGUGAGUAACACGUGGGUAACCUGCCUGUAAGACUGGGAUAACUCCGGGAAACCGGGGCUAAUACCGGAUGCUUGAUUGAACCGCAUGGUUCAAUUAUAAAAGGUGGCUUUUAGCUACCACUUACAGAUGGACCCGCGGCGCAUUAGCUAGUUGGUGAGGUAACGGCUCACCAAGGCAACGAUGCGUAGCCGACCUGAGAGGGUGAUCGGCCACACUGGGACUGAGACACGGCCCAGACUCCUACGGGAGGCAGCAGUAGGGAAUCUUCCGCAAUGGACGAAAGUCUGACGGAGCAACGCCGCGUGAGUGAUGAAGGUUUUCGGAUCGUAAAACUCUGUUGUUAGGGAAGAACAAGUACCGUUCGAAUAGGGCGGUACCUUGACGGUACCUAACCAGAAAGCCACGGCUAACUACGUGCCAGCAGCCGCGGUAAUACGUAGGUGGCAAGCGUUGUCCGGAAUUAUUGGGCGUAAAGCGCGCGCAGGCGGUUUCUUAAGUCUGAUGUGAAAGCCCCCGGCUCAACCGGGGAGGGUCAUUGGAAACUGGGGAACUUGAGUGCAGAAGAGGAGAGUGGAAUUCCACGUGUAGCGGUGAAAUGCGUAGAGAUGUGGAGGAACACCAGUGGCGAAGGCGACUCUCUGGUCGUAACUGACGCUGAGGCGCGAAAGCGUGGGGAGCGAACAGGAUUAGAUACCCUGGUAGUCCACGCCGUAAACGAUGAGUGCUAAGUGUUAGAGGGUUUCCGCCCUUUAGUGCUGCAGCAAACGCAUUAAGCACUCCGCCUGGGGAGUACGGUCGCAAGACUGAAACUCAAAGGAAUUGACGGGGGCCCGCACAAGCGGUGGAGCAUGUGGUUUAAUUCGAAGCCACGCGAAGAACCUUACCAGGUCUUGACAUCCUCUGACAACCCUAGAGAUAGGGCUUCCCCUUCGGGGGCAGAGUGACAGGUGGUGCAUGGUUGUCGUCAGCUCGUGUCGUGAGAUGUUGGGUUAAGUCCCGCAACGAGCGCAACCCUUGAUCUUAGUUGCCAGCAUUCAGUUGGGCACUCUAAGGUGACUGCCGGUGACAAACCGGAGGAAGGUGGGGAUGACGUCAAAUCAUCAUGCCCCUUAUGACCUGGGCUACACACGUGUACAAUGGGCAGAACAAAGGGCAGCGAACCGCGGG
This 1228-nucleotide ribosomal RNA is filed under the name Bacillus sonorensis. RNAcentral's name for it is "bacterial SSU rRNA". It matches the Rfam family "Bacterial small subunit ribosomal RNA", at positions 48 to 1264 of the family's 1533-position model. Lineage: Bacteria; Bacillati; Bacillota; Bacilli; Caryophanales; Bacillaceae. The record is from RNAcentral.